UACGAAGGGGGCUAGCGUUGUUCGGAAUCACUGGGCGUAAAGCGCACGCAGGCGGAUUGAUAAGUCAGGGGUGAAAUCCCGGGGCUCAACCUCGGAAUUGCCUUUGAUACUGUCUGUCUUGAGUCCGGGAGAGGUGAGUGGAAUUCCUAGUGUAGAGGUGAAAUUCGUAGAUAUUAGGAAGAACACCAGUGGCGAAGGCGGCUCACUGGACACAUAUUGACGCUGAGGUGCGAAAGCGUGGGGAGCAAACAGG
Molecule: ribosomal RNA, 253 nt
Filed under: uncultured bacterium
Lineage: Bacteria
Description: partial 16S ribosomal RNA
Rfam family: Bacterial small subunit ribosomal RNA
Source: RNAcentral